UGGGGAAUAUUGGACAAUGGGCGCAAGCCUGAUCCAGCAAUGCCGCGUGUGUGAAGAAGGCCUUCGGGUUGUAAAGCACUUUUAUCAGGAGCGAAACGCUGUCGGCUAAUACCCGGCGGAACUGACGGUACCUGAGGAAUAAGCACCGGCUAACUUCGUGCCAGCAGCCGCGGUAAUACGAAGGGUGCAAGCGUUAAUCGGAAUUACUGGGCGUAAAGCGUGCGUAGGCGGUUUCUUAAGUCUGCUGUGAAAUCCCCGGGCUCAACCUGGGAAUGGCAGUGGAUACUGGGAGGCUAGAGUGUGUCAGAGGGUGGUGGAAUUCCCGGUGUAGCGGUGAAAUGCGUAGAGAUCGGGAGGAACAUCAGUGGCGAAGGCGGCCACCUGGGACAACACUGACGCUGAGGCACGAAAGCGUGGGGAGCAAACAGGAUUAGAUACCCUGGUAGUCCACGCCCUAAAAGCGAUGCGAACUGGAUGUUGGUCUCAACUCGGAGAUCAGUGUCGAAGCUAACGCGUUAAGUUCGCCGCCUGGGGAGUACGGUCGCAAGACUGAAACUCAAAGGAAUUGACGGGGUCAUAGCUGUUUCCUG
RNAcentral lists this ribosomal RNA (590 nucleotides) under uncultured bacterium. RNAcentral describes it as "partial 16S ribosomal RNA". It matches the Rfam family "Bacterial small subunit ribosomal RNA", at positions 355 to 1376 of the family's 1533-position model. The record is from RNAcentral.